GGAGUGAGCCCAAAGGUUCGAAAGGUGUUGCAGCUUCUUCGCCUUCGUCAAAUCUUCAAUGGAACCUUUGUAAAGCUCAACAAGGCUUCGAUUAACAUGCUGAGGAUUGUAGAGCCAUAUAUUGCAUGGGGGUACCCCAAUCUGAAGUCAGUAAAUGAACUAAUCUACAAGCGUGGUUAUGGCAAAAUCAAUAAGAAGCGAAUUGCUUUGACAGAUAACGCUUUGAUUGCUCGAUCUCUUGGUAGGUUCUAUUUGGGGGAAAAUUUGGUAUUAGACCAUGCGAUAAUUUCUCACCCUCUUGUGGCCGUACAUUUCUCACUAUUGUGAAUCUUCAUGUGUUCCCUAUGAUUCUUGAUUUAGCUUAAAAGAAAACGUAAGACAUGGUUUCAUUAGCUUGAACCUUAUCUUUGUAAAGCCAUGCAUUUACCUUGUUUAUUCCUGGUUAUGUUUUUAUCUCACAGCCUAUUCAAAAAGAUUUUGAAUAAUUAUUUCAAAACUUUUUGCAACUUUAAUAAUCUUAAAUAACCUUAAAAUAUUUAGGUAAAUACGGCAUCAUCUGCAUGGAGGAUUUGAUUCAUGAGAUCUAUACUGUUGGAAAACGCUUCAAAGAGGCAAAUAACUUCCUGUGGCCCUUCAAAUUGUCUUCUCCACGAGGUGGAAUGAAGAAAAAGACCACCCA
RNAcentral lists this small RNA (679 nucleotides) under Pan troglodytes (chimpanzee). Its description in RNAcentral is "retained intron". Lineage: Eukaryota; Metazoa; Chordata; Mammalia; Primates; Hominidae. The record is from RNAcentral.